This 120-nucleotide small RNA is filed under the name Marmota monax (woodchuck). The record is from RNAcentral. Lineage: Eukaryota; Metazoa; Chordata; Mammalia; Rodentia; Sciuridae.
ACUGGGCAUGGUGGCACACGCCUGUAAUCCCAGCCUCUUGGAAGGCUGAGGCAGGAGGAUUGCGAGUUCAAAGUCAGUCUCAGCAACUUAUAGAGGCAACUCAGUGAGACCCUGUCUCUA